This is a long non-coding RNA of Mya arenaria, 1079 nucleotides long. RefSeq lists it as uncharacterized. The record is from RefSeq and is a predicted model, not a curated record. NCBI's taxonomy places the organism in Eukaryota, Metazoa, Mollusca, Bivalvia, Myida, Myidae. The transcript has 3 exons.
GUUUUGACUGUCAUUUUAUAUUUCCGAUUUCGGAUAUUUUAAGAAUUGUUUUGAUUGUCAAUGACUUUACAAGGAUACAUUGACAUCUCCUGCAUCGCUACAGUGACCUUGACCUAGACUAUAGCCAUCGGGGCCCAACACACAAUCUCAGGGUGGUAAAAUGAACUAUGGUAUCGACUGUUCGUAUAGAAUGACAGUCAAUUAUUGAAAACAGCGUGUUGCUUGUGCACACUCGGACAUAGAACGAACCACGACCAGUUUGUUUUAACCCAUAAUAUAUUAACUUUUAUAUAUAUUAACUUUUAUAUGACCUUCAUAUGGGUCAGGGGAAAAGUUCAGAUGAUGACAUUUAGUAACUUAAAUUUUAACAGAAAAAUAUUGAUAAUAGCAUAAAGACAGUUACAAUGAUGCGGAUAAAUCUACAUGUAUGUGUUUUAUUUUCAGUUGAAAUAUGACAUAUGUGUAUUUUUAUUGUUUAAAACAUUAUUAAAUGUAUUGCAUAUGUGUACAGUGUUCAUGUAUCUAAACUCUGUGAACGAGAAUGUAUAACAAUCAACCCUACACCAAAUAACGGGUGUAUAAACUGAUGCGAUUCGAUAUUGAUCGUCAAUGAGAAACCAUGAAUAUUUGAAAUGGUUUAAAUUGCACAAGCUCUGGUUGAAGACAGCAUAGAAGUAUUGGUUUUAAGCAGACGACACAACGCGAAGAAACAUUGAGGGUUUAAAUAGCGUUAUACGGCAGACAACAGCAUUUUUGAAUAACAUGUAGUAUUUUGUAUGGUAUGAAGGCCACAUGUGUCAACAUUACUUAAAUUGAAGACCGCUUUUACUUGUACUUGAAUGGUUAAGGAGAUGGAGAUGAUUAUGUGCAUUAGCGCAUUGUUAGACAAGGACAUUAGGUGUUAUACAUUUUUUAAAAUCAAUAAGGAUAUUUGUUUCUGUGCUUCACUCGAAUUAUUAUUCCUUUUUAAAAAGAAUUAAAAGUGCAAAAAUCCAUGUACAUUUUGAUUUCUUGAUAAAUCUGAAUGUUUUAACAGAAAGCUUUCAUACUAAAUAGCUUCCCCAUGUUUAUGGAUAGGU